UACGUAGGGUGCAAGCGUUGUCCGGAAUCAUUGGGCGUAAAGAGCGUGUAGGCGGUCCGUUAAGUCGGCUGUGAAAGUCCAAGGCUCAACCUUGGGAUGCCGGUCGAUACUGCCGGACUAGAGUUCGGAAGAGGCGAGUGGAAUUCCCGGUGUAGCGGUGAAAUGCGCAGAUAUCGGGAGGAACACCGGUGGCGAAGGCGGUUCUCUGGGCCUUACCUGACACUGAGGAGCGAAAGCGUGGGGAGCGAACAGG
RNAcentral lists this ribosomal RNA (253 nucleotides) under uncultured bacterium. RNAcentral describes it as "partial 16S ribosomal RNA". It matches the Rfam family "Bacterial small subunit ribosomal RNA", at positions 524 to 776 of the family's 1533-position model. The record is from RNAcentral.